GUUGUGUUGAGUUUUAUUACUUUUUUCUAUGCUCAGGAGGGGCGGAUUUAAGCAACAAUGAUUGGGGGCUGUUAGACACUCAUUUUGAUGCCACAUCCUUCAGUUCACUGUUGGAGAGAUCCUUCAUAUGAGCCCAGAAACCGAACAAUACUUUGAGUAAAUCUGAAUCCUUGGUUUGUUGAUGAAGAUCACAAUUGUUAAUGGUAGCUACAUAUAUCAGCCUGUGAAGAAAUAAUGACGUCAUCAACGCAUGCAAUGCUCCCAAACUCAAAAUCAAGGUGAAUACCAAAUAAUUAUUUAUGAAUUUUUAUUCUAGUCAGCCAAAACUAGCCGGGUAUGUGCUAAGUGAGACAAAAAAGCAAAACUUGUACUAAAGGAAGGAGACUGUCAUCAAACUCCCAUAUUAUUCAAAUAUCAUAGACAUAAAAUCAGUUAAUCAAUUAAUCGAAACGCAACAAUCGAUCAAUCAGUCUAAAAAUAUUCA
Long non-coding RNA from Rhopilema esculentum, 484 nucleotides. RefSeq lists it as uncharacterized. NCBI's taxonomy places the organism in Eukaryota, Metazoa, Cnidaria, Scyphozoa, Rhizostomeae, Rhizostomatidae. The record is from RefSeq and is a predicted model, not a curated record.